AACAUGAAAUACUUCAGUAGCAGCCAAUCCAACUAGAUGGCAAUACACUGCCUGCACUCGGAAAACGAAGUCAAAUUUUUAAAAUUUCAGUUCACUCGUUUGUGAAUAUUUCUGACAUGAUUUUAUUAGUGACUAAUUAGGUAACUAAUGAUUAAUUUACUAAUUAAUUGUAUAAUGAACUUUCGGGUAUUCAAUCAAUCGAAAAUAGAGAUUCUAAAUAUCCAAACAAAUGAAAACGUGUACAUUACAACAUGUAGUUAAUUUUGGACCAGGGAAAGGUAGGAAACAAACCACUAAAACAACAUAUUGUCUAGAUUUGGUUUGUUCAUCACAAUUGUACACAAAGUUAAUUUAGCAAUGGAGAAGACAAGAAGACCCUGUACUUAAAAUACUUUUUUAUCUCGCAUAUUCUAUGUUCUGGAAUUAAAUUUUUCAUGAGAAAUCAUAGAGAACAAAAAUUUAAAGAGAAUAUCGAGUAAAAGUUUUGAGAAUGCAAAAAUUUUAGGCAUUUUGUUCAUCUUGCCAUUUUGUAUUAAAAGUGACUCCACAAAGCUGUUCAUUUUGAUGUUACAGAAAAAGCAAGUCCAUCUUCUAUGGUGUACUUUUCAUCUUGGAUGAUUUUGUAGUUAAUUUAAGGGUUGAUUUAAUCAUAAUAAAUGAACAUGGAGAUGACAAAUGAGAAGGAAUUGAAGUAUGGAGAAAUGGAAUUUCCUUAGUGUUUCCACCUCUUAGACUUGGAAAGAUUGGGUGGUAGUUGUACAUUCCAUGUUGGAUGUGAUGGGUUACGAAGCAUGGGCUCUAUCAGCCCUCCUUCCCUCAAGAAAGGAGCAGUACCUAAAGUCCUAAAGGAAAGUGCCUUUUUUUUUCAUUGGGAACAGAGACAGUGUGUUGUUUUUAAAGGAAGGAUUUAAUACAACGAAAAGAAAAGUCAAAAAACAGCAGCAGUGUGAAAGUUGACAUAUAAUUAUUAAAAGAGCAUUUAUUUUAAGUUUUCUAUUGUAAAUGUUAAUGGAAACUUUGUGUAUAAUUACUUCAGUAAGAGAAUAAAAAAUAAAGGGAAAAUGAAUAUUAAAUAUUUAAAUUUUGAACAUAUGAGAUGUUUGUUUUAAUUAUUAAGGAAUGGUACAUUAAUUACAUGCAUAUCCAUUAUUUUUCCUUUCAUCUGCCUCUAACUACGCCAUUUCAAAAUGCUAUUAUUUUAUUCGCUUUAAUAUUAAUAGUUAUUAGUUGUCUUUUUAAUUUCCACAGGUUGACCAACAGAUGAGAAUUGGAAGUUAAUUUUGACCCUAGCAAUGACAAUAAGCGAAGCCUGCAUUGGUAGCUUUCUUUCCGAACUUGUUUUGCUUUUUGCAUGUGUGAAUUUUAAAACGCUACAGUCUACAGCUAAUCAAGAUUGACGAUAAAUUAAGAGUGGAAGAGCGUUCAUUUAAUGAAUACUUAUCAAUAAGAUUUCAUUUUACAGGGACAUUCACUCCAGAAAAUAGCUGUACCUACAGUCUCAAAGAAAGCAUGAUAGUGCAUUUGUUUCAUUUGGAAUGGGGACAGUGUGGCAUUGCUAAAGGAAGGAUUUAUGACAAUGAAUGAACUGAUUAUACAAUAAAAGAGAAGGAAUUGCAGUUAAUUUUGAUGCUACUGAAGUAAUAUAUACUUCUGAUGUCUUCACUUUGCAACAUUAUGGAGUUAAUUUUGAAUUUUCGGGGAAGAGGCAACUGGAAAUUAAUUUGGAAAGGACUGAAACAACAGGUUGUCUGCAGUGGUUUUCCUCUUGGAUUUGGCUUGCCCAUUAAACUUCAACAACAAAAUACUCCUUCCUGCAGUUAAUUAAGAUUAUCGAACAAAUGAGUUCAGUUUAGCUGUACUGAAACGGCCAUGUCUACAUGGGUGUUGUCUUUUCUGGACUUAGUCUUGAUUUGCUAUUUUUGUCUUCACCUCGCAACGUAUGCAGUUAAUUUUCAACCGAUAAGUGGAAGCAACUGGAAACUUAUUUGAACAACAGACUUUCUGCCGUGGUAUUCUGGAUUUGGUUUGCUUUUUACACCUGCAAACAUUGAGAGGUUGCAGUCUACAGUUAAUUAAGAUCGACGCUGGAGAAGACAAAGAUGACCCCGUAGUUGAAA
This is a long non-coding RNA of Agrilus planipennis (emerald ash borer), 2117 nucleotides long. RefSeq lists it as uncharacterized. Lineage: Eukaryota; Metazoa; Arthropoda; Insecta; Coleoptera; Buprestidae. The transcript has 9 exons. The record is from RefSeq and is a predicted model, not a curated record.